UGAUUACUGCUCAGUAACACGUGGACAACCUACCCUCCGGACGGGUAUAAACCCGGGAAACUGGGUAUAAUCCCCGAUAGAUCUCGGUCGCUGGAAAGCCCCGAGAUCGAAAGCUCCGGCGCCAGAGGAUGGGUCUGCGGCCUAUCAGGUAGUAGUGGGUGUAGCGUACCUACUAGCCUACGACGGGUACGGGUUGUGAGAGCAAGAGCCCGGAGAUGGAUUCUGAGACACGAAUCCAGGCCCUACGGGGUGCAGCAGGCGCGAAAACUUUACAAUGCCGGCAACGGCGAUAAGGGGACCUCGAGUGCCAGGUUACAAAUCUGGCUGUCGUGAUGCCUAAAAAGCAUUGCAUAGCAAGGGCCGGGCAAGACCGGUGCCAGCCGCCGCGGUAACACCGGCGGCUCGAGUGGUAACCGUUAUUAUUGGGUCUAAAGGGUCUGUAGCCGGCCGGAUAAGUCUCUUGAGAAAUCCAGCAGCUCAACUGUUGGGCUUUCAGGAGAUACUGUCUGGCUCGAGGCCGGGAGAGGUGAGAGGUACUUCAGGGGUAGGGGUGAAAUCUUGUAAUCCUUGAAGGACCACCAGUGGCGAAGGCGUCUCACCAGAACGGACCUGACGGCAAGGGACGAAAGCUAGGGGCACGAACCGGAUUAGAUACCCGGGUAGUCCUAGCCGUAAACGAUACUCGCUAGGUGUCGGCCACGGUGCGACCGUUGUCGGUGCCGUAGGGAAGCCGUGAAGCGAGCCACCUGGGAAGUACGGCCGCAAGACUGAAACUUAAAGGAAUUGGCGGGGGAGCACA
Molecule: ribosomal RNA, 799 nt
Filed under: uncultured archaeon
Lineage: Archaea
Description: bacterial SSU rRNA
Rfam family: Archaeal small subunit ribosomal RNA
Source: RNAcentral